AUUGAACGCUGGCGGCAGGCCUAACACAUGCAAGUCGAGCGGAUGAAGUGAGCUUGCUCCUGGAUUCAGCGGCGGACGGGUGAGUAAUGCCUAGGAAUCUUCCUGGUAGUGGGGGAUAACGUCCGGAAACGGGCGCUAAUACCGCAUACGUCCUGAGGGAGAAAGUGGGGGAUCUUCGGACCUCCCGCUAUCAGAUGAGCCUAGGUCGGAUUAGCUAGUUGGUGGGGUAAAGGCCUACCAAGGCGACGAUCCGUAACUGGUCUGAGAGGAUGAUCGGUCACACUGGAACUGAGACACGGUCCAGACUCCUACGGGAGGAAGCAGUGGGGAAUAUUGGACAAAGGGCGAAAGCCUGAUCCAGCCAUGCCGCGUGUGUGAAGAAGGUCUUCGGAUUGUAAAGCACUUUAAGUUGGGAGGAAGGGCAGUAAGUUAAUACCUUGCUGUUUUGACGUUACCAACAGAAUAAGCACCGGCUAACUUCGUG
RNAcentral lists this ribosomal RNA (484 nucleotides) under uncultured bacterium. RNAcentral's name for it is "partial 16S ribosomal RNA". It matches the Rfam family "Bacterial small subunit ribosomal RNA", at positions 30 to 507 of the family's 1533-position model. The record is from RNAcentral.